GAUGAACGCUGGCGGCGUGCCUAAUACAUGCAAGUCGAGCGAACGGACGAGAAGCUUGCUUCUCUGAUGUUAACGGCGGACGGGUGAGUAACACGUGGAUAACCUACCUAUAAGACUGGGAUAACUUCGGGAAACCGGAGCUAAUACCGGAUAAUAUUUUGAACCGCAUGGUUCAAAAGUGAAAGACGGUCUUGCUGUCACUUAUAGAUGGAUCCGCGCUGCAUUAGCUAGUUGGUAAGGUAACGGCUUACCAAGGCAACGAUGCAUAGCCGACCUGAGAGGGUGAUCGGCCACACUGGAACUGAGACACGGUCCAGACUCCUACGGGAGGCAGCAGUAGGGAAUCUUCCGCAAUGGGCGAAAGCCUGACGGAGCAACGCCGCGUGAGUGAUGAAGGUCUUCGGAUCGUAAAACUCUGUUAUUAGGGAAGAACAUAUGUGUAAGUAACUGUGCACGUCUUGACGGUACCUAAUCAGAAAGCCACGGCCAACUACGUG
RNAcentral lists this ribosomal RNA (497 nucleotides) under uncultured bacterium. RNAcentral describes it as "partial 16S ribosomal RNA". It matches the Rfam family "Bacterial small subunit ribosomal RNA", at positions 28 to 507 of the family's 1533-position model. The record is from RNAcentral.